CCCAGACUCCUACGGGAGGCAGCAGUGGGGAAUAUUGCACAAUGGGGGAAACCCUGAUGCAGCGACGCUGCGUGAAGGAAGAAGUAUUUCGGUAUGUAAACUUCUAUUAGCAGGGAAGAAAAUGACGGUACCUGACUAAGAAGCCCCGGCUAACUACGUGCCAGCAGCCGCGGUAAUACGUAGGGGGCAAGCGUUAUCCGGAUUUACUGGGUGUAAAGGGAGCGUAGGCGGUGAUGCAAGUCAGAAGUGAAAGCCCGCAGCUCAACUGCGGGACUGCUUUUGAAACUGUAUGACUAGAUUGCAGGAGAGGUAAGUGGAAUUCCUAGUGUAGCGGUGAAAUGCGUAGAUAUUAGGAGGAACACCAGUGGCGAAGGCGGCUUACUGGACUGUAAAUGACGCUGAGGCUCGAAAGCGUGGGGAGCAAACAGGAUUAGAUACCCUCGUAC
RNAcentral lists this ribosomal RNA (446 nucleotides) under uncultured bacterium. Its description in RNAcentral is "partial 16S ribosomal RNA". It matches the Rfam family "Bacterial small subunit ribosomal RNA", at positions 330 to 793 of the family's 1533-position model. The record is from RNAcentral.